RNAcentral lists this ribosomal RNA (449 nucleotides) under uncultured bacterium. Its description in RNAcentral is "bacterial SSU rRNA". It matches the Rfam family "Bacterial small subunit ribosomal RNA", at positions 329 to 795 of the family's 1533-position model. The record is from RNAcentral.
GCCCAGACUCCUACGGGAGGCAGCAGUGGGGAAUAUUGCACAAUGGGGGGAACCCUGAUGCAGCGACGCCGCGUGAAGGAAGAAGUAUUUCGGUAUGUAAACUUCUAUCAGCAGGGAAGAAAAUGACGGUACCUGACUAAGAAGCCCCGGCUAACUACGUGCCAGCAGCCGCGGUAAUACGUAGGGGGCAAGCGUUAUCCGGAUUUACUGGGUGUAAAGGGAGCGUAGGCGGCGAUGCAAGUCAGAAGUGAAAGACCGGGGCUCAACUCCGGGACUGCUUUUGAAACUGUGUUGCUAGAUUGCAGGAGAGGUAAGUGGAAGUCCUAGUGUAGCGGUGAAAUGCGUAGAUAUUAGGAGGAACACCAGUGGCGAAGGCGGCUUACUGGACCGUAAAUGACGCUGAGGCUCGAAAGCGUGGGGAGCAACCAGGAUUAGAUACCCUAGUAAUC